Molecule: long non-coding RNA, 1686 nt
Organism: Amphiprion ocellaris (clown anemonefish)
Lineage: Eukaryota; Metazoa; Chordata; Actinopteri; Pomacentridae
Exons: 3
Source: RefSeq, a predicted model, not a curated record
AGGGAGUACCUGCAGGAAGUAACGCGGAAUUUGUCCGGUCAGCGUGCUCGUGGACAGUCAUUGGUUACUGCCAAGGUGUUCUACUUUGCUGUCCGUUUGCAAGUGUUCUGUCCAGCUGGAUCUGUCUGAAGUCCAACUGCAUCAGUAACUACAGGACAAUGGGAUCGAUACCAGACGAGAAUGCAUUCUUAAGGGACUGUGUGUCUACCUUAACGAAGAUCCAGACAAGCUGGUGAAAGAAUACAAGAUAUGUUGAUUUACUUUACCUUUUUUAGGAAAUGAUCAGUAGGGAUUCCUUGUGGGUUUUUUGGGUGGCUUUUAAAGACCUUUGAAAUGUAAUGCUGGUCAUAAUUUGUUUUGAUUGUUUGAUAUGUGCUAAUUUCAGCUGUUUUAGAAUAAUGUUUUUUUUUUUUUAAUUAUGAGGAUGGAUGUAAUGAAUACCAGGCACAGGCAGAUGAUGAAAACACCGCGGCAGCCAUGGCAGAGACCGUCUAUGGCAUCUAUGUCAUUCGACACAGCAGUGCAGAGCCCAGUGAUGCCCCAGAGGAUGUGGGAGUCAUUCGGAGGGGGUGACGGUACUCAGUGAGUUGAGGAAUGUACCAUUUGCACUGUCCAUCUUGCUUGCUUUUGUGUAUAAUCUGAACCUGAGUUACCUCCCAGAGCUAAAAUAUACAUUCGAAGCUCUGCAGAAAAUAAUCCUAGAGCUUGAUGGGAACAGACUGUCUACAAAAGUUCAGGCCCUGAAGACAGUUCUUUCCCGUUGAGAAUUUUUGCUCAACUGGGGUAAAACCCUUUUGUUUUCCUUUAAGAUGUUCUAAGUUCAUUUGCAAAGUUUUUUAUCAACACUAAAUCUCCUGACAUUUUAAUGGGCAGUUCCCAUUAUCUAAUGUUGAGUUCUAUAAGGGGGCUGAGAAUUCAAAUAGUAUAUUACCCCAUGUCCCAAACAGCAUCUUCAGUUUAGAACAACAAAGACUUUUGUAAUGCUUUUCUUCUGUACCAAUUACUCAGAUUCUUUGUAAUUGUGAUUUAAAACACAAAGCGGUUCUCAACUGGGUUCCAAAUUUUUCUGUACUCUUUAAGUAAGUUUUUGCCUUUUAUUUAUUUAUUUUUUUUUAAUUCAUUUUGUUCAGUUUAGAUUUUUGGUCACUUUCUAAGAUAAGAUUUAUUUUGGUCAGUUGUGCUAAUUUCAGUAUGUGGCAAGAAAAAAAAACCUAAACUGACCAAAAUUAAGUAAAAAAUAAAUGUAAGACAGUAAUGAAAAUACAAUUAAAAUAAUUAAUAUAAUUAUUAAAAUAAAUGUAAAAAAAAUAAUAAAAACAGACCAAAGGACAUUUUUCUUAGAUCAGUGUUUGUAAAAACAUUAAAAACAAUGUGGACCUGUUACAUAUUUUAAGCACUUAAUAUAUAUAUAUUUUUUAACCACACACUUUCCGAUCCACCAGUUGAGGACCACAAAUUUAGAGGGAACAGUGCUGAAUUUUUGUUUUCAGAAGUGAUACAUUUCAUUUGCUGUUUGAGUGUAAAAUAUUGUUUUACUUAUUGUUAUUAAUAUUAUUAUUAUUUUUUAAUUUAGUUUCUAUUACAAGCAAUACUAGCAGUUUGUAACUGCAUGUAGGAUUUCUAUUCAGUUAAUUAAAAAUGAGCAACUGUACUGCCUUUACAAUUUAAAUACAGUUUAUGACAGCA